GUGGGAGGGGGCUUGCUCCCGAUGGCGAUCGUCCAGUUAGACAUAGGCUGACUGAUACACCGCCAUCGGGAGCAAGCCCCCUCCCAC
This 87-nucleotide non-coding RNA is filed under the name Pseudomonas poae. The record is from RNAcentral. Lineage: Bacteria; Pseudomonadati; Pseudomonadota; Gammaproteobacteria; Pseudomonadales; Pseudomonadaceae.